This 377-nucleotide ribosomal RNA is filed under the name Calyozina sp. Its description in RNAcentral is "partial large subunit ribosomal RNA". Lineage: Eukaryota; Metazoa; Arthropoda; Insecta; Hymenoptera; Bethylidae. The record is from RNAcentral.
GCUCUAUGAAUAUUUAAAUGGCUGCAGUAAUUUAACUGUACUAAGGUAGCAUAAUAAAUUGUUUUUUAAUUGAAAACUGGAAUGAAAGAGGUGAUGAAAUAUAUACUUUAUUAAAUUUAUAAUUUGAAUUUGAUUUUAAAGUAAAAAAGCUUUAAUAGUUUUAAGGGACGAGAAGACCCUAUAGAAUUUUAUAUAAAAAUAUUAUUUUAAUAAUAUUUAGAGUAUUUAUUUGGGAGGAAUGUUAAAAUUAAAAACUUUAAUUAGUAAUUUACUAGAAUAUUAGGAUAUAAAUUGAAUUUAUUAAUAAAUAUAAGAUUAAAUUACCUUAGGGAUAACAGCGUAAUAUUUUUUAAAAGUUCAUAUUUAAAAAAGUGUUU